UAUGAAGUGUCCAGAACAGGCAGGUCCAUAGCAACGGAAGGUGGACUAGUGGUGUCCAGGGGCUGGGAUGGGGGUGGGGAGUGACUGCUUACAGGAACGGGGUCUCUUUUGGGGCCGAUGAAAUGCGCUGGAAUUAGAGGUGACGAUUGCAUCAUUCAGCGAAGGCACUGAAAACCACUCCAUGGUGAAUUUUAUGACGGAUAGGAAUGAAGAAGAGAUUGAUCGGAUUUUUCCUGUUCUCGGUAACCUACAUCCAGAGCACAGUGCACCUCAUUGGAGCCCCCAGACGCAGGCCACCAGGAAGCAGCAGUGCAUUGUGGCCAGACCUGAUUGUUCAAUAGGAGAUUUAAAAUCCAAUUUGCAUACAUGUAUGUGUGAAAUUGGUCUGUUGGCUUUUACAUUUUCAAAAGCAGAUCAAAUAAAACUCAUACUUCA
Myotis myotis is the source of this 435-nucleotide long non-coding RNA. RefSeq lists it as uncharacterized. The record is from RefSeq and is a predicted model, not a curated record. The transcript has 2 exons. Lineage: Eukaryota; Metazoa; Chordata; Mammalia; Chiroptera; Vespertilionidae.